Oncorhynchus keta (chum salmon) is the source of this 1377-nucleotide long non-coding RNA. RefSeq lists it as uncharacterized. The record is from RefSeq and is a predicted model, not a curated record. The transcript has 4 exons. Lineage: Eukaryota; Metazoa; Chordata; Actinopteri; Salmoniformes; Salmonidae.
GAGCAGGACACAGACCUGAGAUUUCUCUGGAUCUGGAAAAGGAGCUGGAGGAUUGGAGGUGCUCUUCUAUAUGGAUGACUGUCUAAAGUCAGCAGCAAGUGAGGAAGAAGCCUUGACACCUACUCAGGACCGCACAUCACUGUGUUCUAAAUGAGGCUUUAGACUGAACAAAUGGAUCAGCAACAGUCAAGUUGUUGCCUCUAUUCCUGAAGAGGAGAAAGCAAAGGAGAUAACGGAUCUGGACUGGGAUCAGAACAUGCUACCAGUGUAUUGUAUUUUGUAAUGUUAUGUAUAGUAUGUAUUAUAUUGUUGUGUUUUGUUUUGAGUUUGGAACAACUUGGCAGCGACGAAAUAGCAAAUACUAAACUCGUGGCUCAUGGGGCAAGUCACACAAACCACCCCGACUCCGGAGGGCUGGUUAGGCAAGUGAGAACCCAGACCACCAAGCUGUGUCUGCUGCUGGAGGCCCACAUAAGGUUUCCUCUAUGUUUUGAAGUUGUAAUUGUUUUGAUCCCACAAGAACAAGGAGUUUGGUUGAUGAAAUCAUGUUUCUGGUUUCCUACUAUGGUUAUCAUGGGUAUUUGAAAGCAAGAUGGAGCCUCACCUGGACACAGCCCUUUUCCCAUGUUCACCUUUCCUAUACUUAUUUAGGGUUUUGGCAUUAUGGGUCAGCUAGGUCUCAGGUAUAGAGUUACCAUACAUUAUGAGUCAGCUAGGACUCAGGUAUAGAGUUACCAUACAUUAUGGGUCAGCUAGGUCUCAGGUAUAGAGUAACCAUACAUUAUGAGUCAGCUUGGUCUCAGGUAUAGAGUAACCAUACAUUAUGAGUCAGCUUGGUCUCAGGUAUAGAGUAACCAUACAUUAUGGGUCAGCUAGGUCUCAGGUAUAGAGUAACCAUACAUUAUGGGUCAGCUAGGACUCAGGUAUGGAGUUACCAUACAUUAUGGGUCAGCUAGGACUCAGGUAUAGAGUAACCAUACAUUAUGAGUCAGCUUGGUCUCAGGUAUAGAGUAACCAUACAUUAUGAGUCAGCUUGGUCUCAGGUAUAGAGUAAACAUACAUUAUGGGUCAGCUAGGUCUCAGGUAUAGAGUAACCAUACAUUAUGGGUCAGCUAGGUCUCAGGUAUGGAGUAAGCAUACAUUAUGGGUCAGCUGGGACUCAGGUAUGGAGAUAACAUACAUUAUGGGUCAACUAGGACUCAGGUAUGGAGUUACCAUACAUUAUGGGUCAGCUAGGACUCAGGUAUGGAGAUAACAUACAUUAUGGGUCAGCUAGGACUCAGGUAUGGAGGUAACAUACAUUAUGGGUCAGCUAGGACUCAGGUAUGGAGGUAACAUACAUUAUGGGUCAGCUAGGACUCAGGUAUGGAGGUAACA